RNAcentral lists this ribosomal RNA (370 nucleotides) under uncultured bacterium. RNAcentral's name for it is "bacterial SSU rRNA". It matches the Rfam family "Bacterial small subunit ribosomal RNA", at positions 37 to 408 of the family's 1533-position model. The record is from RNAcentral.
UUGGCGGCAGGCCUAACACAUGCAAGUCGAGCGGUAGAGAGAAGCUUGCUUCUCUUGAGAGCGGCGGACGGGUGAGUAACGCCUAGGAAUCUGCCUGGUAGUGGGGGAUAACGUCCGGAAACGGACGCUAAUACCGCAUACGUCCUACGGGAGAAAGCAGGGGACCUUCGGGCCUUGCGCCAUCAGAUGAGCCUAGGUCGGAUUAGCUAGUUGGUGAGGUAAUGGCUCACCAAGGCGACGAUCCGUAACUGGUCUGAGAGGAUGAUCAGUCACACUGGAACUGAGACACGGUCCAGACUCCUACGGGAGGCAGCAGUGGGGAAUAUUGGACAAUGGGCGAAAGCCUGAUCCAGCCAUGCCGCGUGUGUGA